AAAGGAAUACAAUUCAGACAGAAAUUUGUCAAGAAGACCCGCAGAGGCUGAAGAAAUAACAUCACAAAUCAUGAGUCUACCCAAGGGCACGUCUGUUCCCAAGAAUUUAUCUUUGGUUUUGCUACCCAGAAGAAAAAGAAGACCCUGGUGGCACUGUGUGCUCAUAAAACAAAAGAGAAGAAAUAAAUUAUGAAAAAGAAACUUUCGGAGACAGGGAUAGUUCAUUUGAUUCUUGCAAUGAGGAGGGGACAAAUUACUGCAGGGAGCAGUGACUGAGAGCAUGGAAAUGAUGAUCAACCACUCUGGGGCAUGUGUGGUCUCUCUCUGCUCCUUCAUCUCAUGGAAACAUGUUUCUACGUGCAUGUAUUCAGCCACAGCCACACACAGACAGAGAGCUAAGUACCACCAGCCUAGGUGGGAGCUGGAAACUUGUGCAAGGAGGUGAAUCAGAGGCAGGCUACUUGUCCAGAAAUACUCUGUCCCGGAUCCCCAUCUCCAGCUGUGUCCUUUUGCAGUCAGACCAGCGGCUGCCUCCUCCUUCCUCCCCAGCCCAGCAGCACGGCAGGGACACGGCUCUGGGCCCAGGGACCACUGCGGGCAUCACUGGGCCAGCACAAGGUGAGCCUGGGGCAGAGGCACCGGCUGGACGGGUGCACAUUCUGGCUUUAUAUUUAUUUAACAAAGGAAACAGUAGCAUCCUUACUGCUUCCUAG
RNAcentral lists this long non-coding RNA (713 nucleotides) under Anser cygnoides (Swan goose). RNAcentral's name for it is "lncRNA (ENSACDG00005008081.1)". The record is from RNAcentral. Lineage: Eukaryota; Metazoa; Chordata; Aves; Anseriformes; Anatidae.